AACGAACGCUGGCGGCAUGCCUAACACAUGCAAGUCGAACGAGACCUUCGGGUCUAGUGGCGCACGGGUGCGUAACGCGUGGGAACCUGCCUUUAGGUUCGGAAUAACUCAGAGAAAUUUGAGCUAAUACCGGAUGAUGUCUUCGGACCAAAGAUUUAUCGCCUUUAGAUGGGCCCGCGUUGGAUUAGCUAGUUGGUGGGGUAGAGGCCUACCAAGGCGACGAUCCAUAGCUGGUCUGAGAGGAUGAUCAGCCACACUGGGACUGAGACACGGCCCAGACUCCUACGGGAGGCAGCAGUGGGGAAUAUUGGACAAUGGGCGAAAGCCUGAUCCAGCAAUGCCGCGUGAGUGAUGAAGGCCUUAGGGUUGUAAAGCUCUUUUACCCGAGAUGAUAAUGACAGUAUCGGGAGAAUAAGCUCCGGCUAACUCCGUG
This 433-nucleotide ribosomal RNA is filed under the name uncultured bacterium. RNAcentral describes it as "partial 16S ribosomal RNA". It matches the Rfam family "Bacterial small subunit ribosomal RNA", at positions 29 to 507 of the family's 1533-position model. The record is from RNAcentral.